This 482-nucleotide ribosomal RNA is filed under the name uncultured bacterium. RNAcentral's name for it is "partial 16S ribosomal RNA". It matches the Rfam family "Bacterial small subunit ribosomal RNA", at positions 30 to 507 of the family's 1533-position model. The record is from RNAcentral.
AUUGAACGCUGGCGGCAUGCUUUACACAUGCAAGUCGAACGGCAGCGCGGGGCAACCUGGCGGCGAGUGGCGAACGGGUGAGUAAUAUAUCGGAACGUACCCAGAAGUGGGGGAUAACGUAGCGAAAGUUACGCUAAUACCGCAUACGAUCUACGGAUGAAAGUAGGGGACCGCAAGGCCUUAUGCUUUUGGAGCGGCUGAUAUCUGAUUAGCUAGUUGGUGAGGUAAAGGCUCACCAAGGCGACGAUCAGUAGCUGGUCUGAGAGGACGACCAGCCACACUGGAACUGAGACACGGUCCAGACUCCUACGGGAGGCAGCAGUGGGGAAUUUUGGACAAUGGGCGCAAGCCUGAUCCAGCAAUGCCGCGUGAGUGAAGAAGGCCUUCGGGUUGUAAAGCUCUUUUGUCAGGGAAGAAACGGUAGAGGCUAAUAUCCUUUGCUAAUGACGGUACCUGAAGAAUAAGCACCGGCUAACUACGUG